UUAAUAGUAAAAUCUGCUCAAUGAUAUUUAAAUAGCCGCAUUUGUGCUAAGGUAGCAUAAUAAUUUGUCCUUUAAUUGAAGACUAGAACAAAAGAUUUAACAUUUUAAUUUUUUUCUUAAAAAAACUUUUCCAACUUAUCCUAAAUGUAAAAAGACAUUUAUAAUUAAGAAAGACGACCAGACCCUAUUGAACUUAACUUUAGUUAAACUGGGGUAGUAAAUUAAUUAUAAUUUUAAUUAUAUUCAAUUUUCCAAAUAUCCAAUACAAUUAAAUAAAUCAGUUACCAUAGGGAUAACAGCGCAAUUAUUUUUUAAAGAUCUCAUUUUAAAAAUAGAUUACGACCUCGAUGUUGAAUUAAAUACCUAUUUAAAGCAAAUUUUAAUAAAGGAAGUCUGUUCGACUUAUAAUUAUUUACAUGAUUUGAGUUCAGACCGGUGUAAGCCAGGUCAGCUUCCAUCUUCUAAAGAAUUUUCUACAGUACGAAAGGACCUAUAAAUAUAAUAUGAUUAUAAUAUUGGCAGAUAAAUGCAUUAGAAUUAGAAUCUAAUAAGUCUCAU
RNAcentral lists this ribosomal RNA (558 nucleotides) under Zabkattus trapeziformis. RNAcentral describes it as "partial 16S ribosomal RNA". Lineage: Eukaryota; Metazoa; Arthropoda; Arachnida; Araneae; Salticidae. The record is from RNAcentral.